This 445-nucleotide ribosomal RNA is filed under the name uncultured bacterium. RNAcentral's name for it is "SSU rRNA". It matches the Rfam family "Bacterial small subunit ribosomal RNA", at positions 26 to 518 of the family's 1533-position model. The record is from RNAcentral.
AGAACGAACGCUGGCGGCAUGCCUAACACAUGCAAGUCGAACGAGACCUUCGGGUCUAGUGGCGCACGGGUGCGUAACGCGUGGGAAUCUGCCCUUGGGUCCGGAAUAACUCAGAGAAAUUUGAGCUAAUACCGGAUGAUGACGUAAGUCCAAAGAUUUAUCGCCCAGGGAUGAGCCCGCGUAAGAUUAGCUAGUUGGUGGGGUAAAGGCCUACCAAGGCGACGAUCUUUAGCUGGUCUGAGAGGAUGAUCAGCCACACUGGGACUGAGACACGGCCCAGACUCCUACGGGAGGCAGCAGUGGGGAAUAUUGGACAAUGGGCGAAAGCCUGAUCCAGCAAUGCCGCGUGAGUGAUGAAGGCCCUAGGGUUGUAAAGCUCUUUUACCCGGGAUGAUAAUGACAGUACCGGGAGAAUAAGCCCGGCUAACUCCGCGCCAGCAGCCGC